GGAGGGAUCAUUACAGAGUUACAAACUCCAAACCUUUGUGAACAUACCAUUGUUGCUUCGGCGGCCUCGCCCCGGGCGUCGCUGGCACCGAGAGGUGUCGGCGGCGGCCCGGACCCAGGCGACCGCCGGGGGACCCAAACUCUUGUUUUUCAGUGUAUUAUCUGAGUGGCAUAAGCAAAUAAUCAAAACUUUCAGCAACGGAUCUCUUGGUUCUGGCAUCGAUGAAGAACGCAGCGAAAUGCGAUAAGUAAUGUGAAUUGCAGAAUUCAGUGAAUCAUCGAAUCUUUGAACGCACAUUGCGCCCGCCAGUACUCUGGCGGGCAUGCCUGUCCGAGCGUCAUUUCAACCCUCAGCACCCGCUUUCAGUGGGAGCUGGCGUUGGGGAUCGGCCGUCCUCGCGGCGGCCGGCCCCGAAACGAAGUGGCGGUCACGUCUCGACCUCCUCUGCGCAGUAGCGAUACCUCACAGCCUGGAUAGCGACGCGACCAUGCCGUUAAACCCCAACUUUUUCAGGUUGACCUCGGAUCAGGUAGGAAUACCCGCUGAACUUAAGCAUAUCAAUAAGCGGAGGAAAAGAAACCAACAGGGAUUGCCUUAGUAACGGCGAGUGAAGCGGCAACAGCUCAAAUUUGAAAUCUGGCCCCCAGGCCCGAGUUGUAAUUUGUAGAGGAUGCUUCUGGCGACGCGACUUCCGAGUUCCCUGGAACGGGACGCCAAAGAGGGUGAGAGCCCCGUCCGGUCGUUCGCCUAGCCGAUGUGAAGCUCCUUCGACGAGUCGAGUAGUUUGGGAAUGCUGCUCUAAAUGGGAGGUAUACGUCUUCUAA
RNAcentral lists this small RNA (824 nucleotides) under Geosmithia putterillii. RNAcentral describes it as "eukaryotic LSU rRNA". The stretch from base 516 to 824 matches the Rfam family "Eukaryotic large subunit ribosomal RNA", at positions 1 to 313 of the family's 3401-position model. The record is from RNAcentral. Lineage: Eukaryota; Fungi; Ascomycota; Sordariomycetes; Hypocreales; Bionectriaceae.